This 150-nucleotide non-coding RNA is filed under the name Gorilla gorilla gorilla (western lowland gorilla). Lineage: Eukaryota; Metazoa; Chordata; Mammalia; Primates; Hominidae. The record is from Rfam by way of RNAcentral.
GCCGGGCGUGGUGGCACGCGCGCCUGUAAUCCCAGCUACUGGGGAGGCUGAGGCAGGAGAAUUGCUUGAACCCGGGAGGCAGAGGCUGCAGUGAGCCAAGAUCGCGCCACUGCACUCCCGCCUGGGUGACAGAGCAAGACUCCGUCUCAA